CCCGCUGAACUUAAGCAUAUCAAUAAGCGGAGGAAAAGAAACUAACAAGGAUUCCCCUAGUAACUGCGAGUGAAGCGGGAAAAGCUCAAAUUUAAAAUCUGGUGGUCUUUGGCCAUCCGAGUUGUAAUUUAGAGAAGCGUCUUCCGCGCUGGACCGUGCACAAGUCUCCUGGAACGGAGCGUCGUAGAGGGUGAGAAUCCCGUCUUUGGCAUGGACACACCAGGGCUUUUGCGAUGCGCUCUCGAAGAGUCGAGUUGUUUGGGAAUGCAGCUCAAAAUGGGUGGUGAACUCCAUCUAAAGCUAAAUAUUGGCGAGAGACCGAUAGCGAACAAGUACCGUGAGGGAAAGAUGAAAAGCACUUUGGAAAGAGAGUGAAACAGUACGUGAAACCGGUAGGAUGGAAGCGGAUAGAGCCAGCGAAGCUGCUCGCAUUCAGCCGAAAGCCAUGGGCCUCGGGCGGUUUGGAUGCUAACCACGCCCGACUGUCUGUUUGUUCGUGGUUAAGGUGCAUUUGUGGGUAAUUGCGCUGAGACUUGUGGGGCAGUGGCUGGACGCGUGCAUAGAGGCUUCCCUUUGGGUUGAACCUUUGUACGUCGACGGCUAUUUGCUCUGCUCGUAACCGGGCUUGGCCUACGGGCCUGUACGUUUCUGUUGCUGCCGUUCGGUGAAGUCGCAUGCGACUUCUAGUUCGGCCGUCGUAGUUGCGUAUAGCGCUCUCAAGUCUGCUCUCGGUGUAGAAGCUGGUCAUCUAUCCGACCCGUCUUGAAACACGG
RNAcentral lists this ribosomal RNA (773 nucleotides) under uncultured fungus. RNAcentral's name for it is "eukaryotic LSU rRNA". It matches the Rfam family "Eukaryotic large subunit ribosomal RNA", at positions 24 to 664 of the family's 3401-position model. Lineage: Eukaryota; Fungi. The record is from RNAcentral.